AUUAAACUGAAGAGUUUGAUCCUGGCUCAGAUUGAACGCUGGCGGCAUGCCUUACACAUGCAAGUCGAACGGCAGCACGGGAGCAAUCCUGGUGGCGAGUGGCGAACGGGUGAGUAAUACAUCGGAACGUGCCCUGUCGUGGGGGAUAACUAGUCGAAAGAUUAGCUAAUACCGCAUACGACCUGAGGGUGAAAGCGGGGGACCGUAAGGCCUCGCGCGAUAGGAGCGGCCGAUGUCUGAUUAGCUAGUUGGUGGGGUAAAGGCCCACCAAGGCGACGAUCAGUAGCUGGUCUGAGAGGACGAUCAGCCACACUGGGACUGAGACACGGCCCAGACUCCUACGGGAGGCAGCAGUGGGGAAUUUUGGACAAUGGGGGCAACCCUGAUCCAGCAAUGCCGCGUGUGUGAAGAAGGCCUUCGGGUUGUAAAGCACUUUUGUCCGGAAAGAAAUCCCUUGCCCUAAUACGGCGGGGGGAUGACGGUACCGGAAGAAUAAGCACCGGCUAACUACGUGCCAGCAGCCGCGGUAAUACGUAGGGUGCGAGCGUUAAUCGGAAUUACUGGGCGUAAAGCGUGCGCAGGCGGUUUUGUAAGACAGGCGUGAAAUCCCCGAGCUCAACUUGGGAAUGGCGCUUGUGACUGCAAGGCUAGAGU
RNAcentral lists this ribosomal RNA (654 nucleotides) under Cupriavidus sp. UME77. Its description in RNAcentral is "bacterial SSU rRNA". It matches the Rfam family "Bacterial small subunit ribosomal RNA", at positions 1 to 647 of the family's 1533-position model. Lineage: Bacteria; Pseudomonadati; Pseudomonadota; Betaproteobacteria; Burkholderiales; Burkholderiaceae. The record is from RNAcentral.